AGCUGGGGCUGGAUUAACCUAAUCUGCUUUAUUCAACCUAAUAGACAUCUGUGUGUCAUCUGCAUGUGCUGCUUUUUUAAUAAAACAUAGGCAGCAGCAAAUUGCUCACUUUGGUCUGUCUGCUUUUGAAAAUCAGAUGUAUUGGUCAGCAUAAACUCACCGUUUUCUGUUAACAAUGAAAUUCAUCCAGAGGUGCAGGAUGAAAGUACAGGACAGGUUUGGCUUGUCUGCUUUUCAGCUCUUCUAGACAUUGGAAAUUCCAGUUUGUGUUUAUUUUCUCUGGAUUCCUUCCCACAAGACAGAAGUGAAUUCAGCAUGGAUUAUUGGGGAGAGCCUUGGCUGGGAAUAAGGAUAAUUGCAGCCUCUGGCUGUGCCACAGUUUCACUGAUGAUUUCUUUUAAGUUACUCACCUGCACUGUAUCUGUUUCCUCAGCUGUAAAAUGUGGGUAAUUACCUCCAUUGUAAAAUGUUACAGGGUCUGCUGGUAAUUAUAUGAACGAAGUGCUAAUUACAGUGAUUAUCCCUUGGACCUAGUCUAGAUCUGGCUGAUGUUCCUGUUGUGAUGAACGUAUGAAACAAAUACUACAACUUGCUUUUCUCCAUUCUUAGCGAGGGGCCUGGGAGGUGCCCUGUCAUGCGAUGUGUUCCCAGUGAGAAGCUCUGCUGCCCUGUCACCCAGGUCCCUCUCUUAAUUUCUUGUUCCCCUCCACCCUCGUGUGUUACAGGGCUGUGGGCUGAGGAAUUACUGAUUCAGUAGCUGGAUCCAUGUAUGAUCUGAUAGCCAGGGUUUAUGCUGUGGCUUCACUUUUCCUCUUGGGGAUAUGUAGAAUGCAGCAGCCAGGGAACUGCUCCUGAGGUACCACUUGGGUUGGAGCCAGUCUGUGCUGCCUGGUGGCCUCCAUUCCUUAAGAAGUGCUGACCUUGAUGCCAGGAGAGGUGUCCUUCCAGUUGUGGAGAUUAUUUCCCUCCUGUAAAAGCCUACAGCUUCAGGACUUUAUUAUCAAACAUUUUAUUUGCCUUUCUCUUCUCCGUUUAUUUAGGACACAUUUUCUUUGUAGCUGGGAAUAGCUCUACUAUCCCCUGAGCAGGGCUGGGUAGUGGAGGAAGAAUUGAUAUUCUUCAAGGUAGAAAUGUUCUCAUCCAGAAAUUCCUGCUGCUGCCGCUGGGAAGGUGCUGUAGUUUUUGUUGGUAGUAAUAAGUCACAUUGUACAUCUGGUAGUGAUGAGAGUCUUCUCUCCUACCUAAUCCCUGCCUUCCCUGGUCACAGACCUCAUGGUACAGUAACAACAAAAAUAAUGUGCUUGUUUCAUCUUGCUACAACUCUGCCUGCUCUGUUCUGCCACAUCUUAUUCCCUGCCUUCCUUGGUUCUGGAUGGAUUUUCUGCCUUUGCCUCCAGCCUCCAUACCUGCUUCCCAUCAGCCUCAGCCUUUCUUUGCCCUGGAAGAGCAAGGCUCAGUUAUGUCUUCAGAAUUUAGUAGCUGAGCAGCUCUUCCUUUCUCAGAGUUUUGACAAGUGCAAUGAAUUUUUAACUUUCAAAUGAAGGUUUUAGUUCCUGACCGGGAUGAUGGUUUGGAAAGGCUUUCUGGCAAUGGGAAGGCAGUCUUUAAUUGCAGUUUUGCACCUGAGUUUUCCAGACUAGAUACUCUUCUCUGACAGCUUCUGUCUGAUUGAUUCUAGGGCCUGUUUUUUUCCAUGACAGGAUACUUGAGUGCACCAGGGAUGGGAGCAAUGUGCCACUCCUGAUAGGUGAAAGCGGUCAUUGCCAGGCAAUGAGGGUAUGGAAAGAGCUUCUUUUGUUAGGUGGAGGAAAAAUUAGAUGAGGGAUUAUCAUCUCUCCCACAAUUUGCUCUUGCCUUGCUUUAGAGCCUCUCUCUGAACUGGAGAGGUGUGUCUGUAGUGUGUCUGUGUUCACCUAAUGCUCAUCUGCCAGACUUGUUUGAAAAUCCUUCAUUUGGGAAGCAAAAAAUUCAGUUUGUUCCUACAGAAGUAGCAUCUAUUAAGAUGAAUAAUAUGGUGUGAGAGGCUUCAAAAAUGAAUCCAUGUUCUUACUGCCCAUUGCACAAGUGAACUGAUUCGUGUGCUCUCUUGCAAGCCACAUGCUGAAGGAUGUUAAAUUACUGUGUAACCUGGAGGGUAAUCAGUGAUUCAGAUUUCAGAUUUAUCCAAGUCUAAUUUUGCAGCAUUCUUGCAAUAUCUGGGGUUUGUGUAUCUUGGCUCCACUCUGAAUGCUGUACAUUAAGACUGUAGAUAAAACACAAUUAAAAAAAAAACAAACUUAAAUUGUUUAGUAACAUAAUAAUUAUAAACUUUCUCAGGUCUUCUCUUAAAAAUAGGUGCAGUUUGGUUUUCAUUGAGGUGCAAAGUAUUGUGUAAAAUCACUGCAACUUGUGACAAAAAUGCUUUAGAGUAUCUGAACGAAAAUGCAGCAUCACCGUGAAAACAAAAGUGUUAAUGUAAAAGUGGUUCCAAACGAGGUGCUGCUAAAUGAAGGUUUCCUGGUUUUAAGAGCAGGUUCUUAAGCAGUGAUACACUCCGUGGGGGGCAAUUGCACACCCCAGGGAAGGAGCUGAGAAGCACUUUCUAUAUGUCAGAGAUUGUUGCAAAGAAAUUUAUUCCUUUUUACUACUUUUUGUAAUUACCUGUGACUGCUCGGCUUUGCGAGUCAGUAGGUUACAGAUGAACAACGCUGGCUGGUUGCAGGCCGAGCUGAGCAGCGGGGCAGGGCCGGGCGGGGCCGGGCCGUGCCGUGCCGUGCCGUGCCGUGCCGGUGGCCCCGGUGCUGUGGGCUCCUCACCGGCCUCGCUCGGUGGCGCCUGCCGGAGCUGCGGGCCUCGGAGCCGCGGGCCUGAGCUGCUGUCCCCGCGCCUCGCCGGAGGAGGAGGAAGAGGAGAGUUUCCAUCGCGGCCCGUUUGCAGCUGCCCCCGUGUCUGUACGGACGCGGAAUCCCCACAGGAGGGUGCUGCGAAGGCACUGAAUGUGCAGGUUUGCAGGGAAGAUCAGGGCUUGGAGGAGACGGCGAUCGUAGGGCAGCCGCCGGCGCGGCUCGGCCGUGCCCGGGGAGGCCGCGGGGGAGGCCGCGGUGGGAGCUCGCAGCGCCUCGCUCCGUGCUGGUGGGCUCCCGUGUCCGCUGUGGUGUGUGAGCACUGACACUGACACUCGGCUGCUGCAGAGCGUCCCAGGGCUGUUUCCCUGCCUCCUGCUCCUGGCUGGUGCUGGGACCCUUCCCCUGUGAGCAUUAUCCGUGUCCAACGCAUGGCUUCUCUCCAGCGAGCCUUGGAGCCACCCAGCUAUUUUCUGUCUGCAUGUAGUAUGUUUAGCCUGCACAAGUGGCAAAAUGCGUUUGCUUGCAAGUAGAGACAGUGUCCAAGUUCUGUCCUAAAAUACUUUGUAAGUUGGACUAUUUUAUUCGGUGCAAUCAGAUGAGAAAUAACGGCAAAACCUCCCUUUGGUUCCUGGCUGUGCAACCCUCUUUCAAAUAUUUUAGUUAAAGGGAUUAUUCCUUUUGCAUAAUACAUACUCAUGCCAAAAAACUUGUCUGUCUGACAAGGCCAGUUAAGCAGCACGUGAUUCUCCCUUUAGCUGUGUGCUGCUUCACCCUGAAAUUGUGUGUGAUCAUUUAAAAGUAAACAACCCUCCACCCUGGGGGCUGCACACAUCCGCUCUGCCCCUCACUUCAUUCUGCUGCUUUUCACUUUUUAAAUAAACUUUUGAAACUGAGAGUUAUAUAACUGAUGAAGAAACUUCUCUUUGGGCUGACCUCUAGGACAUGAAGGGGGAUUCACUAAUUCUGUUACAUGGGAGUGUGAGAGCUCUGAUCCCUUCCUUUUAAGGGCAGCAGGAUCAACUGAUGGAGCUGUUGUAGAGAGGGGGUGUAAAAUCAGCUACUCAUUGCAUCAGAGCACUUUACGUGGAAACCUGGGACUGAGAUCUUGUGUGCAAGUCCUUGUGGGGUUCCCUGCUGGCCACAGAGGCAUCACAGCAAGUGCUGGUUCAGUACCUGGGUUUGGAUCGCAGGUCUUUAGAUGGAGGAUUGUGUCCAGCAGUGCAAGUGCUUUGUGUUACUCUGUGGGUUUGGCACUCAUCUGAAAGAGCAUCUCAAAAAAACCCUUUUGGUGGGAUGGGUGAUCCCAAAGUUUGGCUAAUACACACUGUGGAAGAGGUGCCUGGCAGCAGUGGGGGCUUUGCCUCAGCACCUGCAUGGCAGGACAGAGCUGGUCUCGUAUCCGAGUGCUGUUAGAUCAGCUGCAGGCUAAUACAAAUAGACUUGGAUUUUGGCCCUGUAAAGGGAGACUUUCAGCUUCCCCUGGGAAUUCUGCCUUGGCAGAAACCAGCUGUAGUUCAGUGGUUUCUGUUACCAGGCAGAGUCUGUUUGGAUGUUAGAAAAUUAGAGCAGAAAUUCCUGCAGCAGUCAGCUGUGUCUGCGUCACCUCUGUGACCUCUAACUGCUACUCCUGCAAACAGUUGCCAUUAAAGACAGUCAAUAACCCCCUUCUGCAUUCCAUUGGAUCGUCUCUUCCUGCCAUCUCAAA
Molecule: long non-coding RNA, 4530 nt
Organism: Taeniopygia guttata (zebra finch)
Lineage: Eukaryota; Metazoa; Chordata; Aves; Passeriformes; Estrildidae
Source: RefSeq, a predicted model, not a curated record